CACCGCGGUUAUACGAGAGGCUCAAGUUGAUAAAAACGGCGUAAAAGGUGGCUAGGAAACAAACAAACUAAAGCCGAACAUCUUCAAAGCCGUCGCACGCAAACGAAGAAAUGAAGUACUCCCACGAAAGUGGCUUUAAACCUCCGAACCCACGAAAGCUAGGGCA
This 166-nucleotide ribosomal RNA is filed under the name Microdous chalmersi. RNAcentral's name for it is "partial 12S rRNA". The record is from RNAcentral. Lineage: Eukaryota; Metazoa; Chordata; Actinopteri; Gobiiformes; Odontobutidae.